RNAcentral lists this ribosomal RNA (894 nucleotides) under uncultured bacterium. RNAcentral describes it as "bacterial SSU rRNA". It matches the Rfam family "Bacterial small subunit ribosomal RNA", at positions 60 to 947 of the family's 1533-position model. The record is from RNAcentral.
AGUCGNNCGGCAGUACGGAGCUUGCUCUGGUGGCGAGUGGCGAACGGGUGAGUAAUGCGUCGGAACGUAUCCAAUAAUGGGGGAUAACGCAGCGAAAGCUGUGCUAAUACCGCAUACGCCCUCCGGGGGAAAGCAGGGGAUCUUAGGACCUUGCGUUAAUGGAGCGGCCGACGUCUGAUUAGCUAGUUGGUCGGGUAAAGGCCUACCAAGGCGACGAUCAGUAGCUGGUCUGAGAGGAUGAUCAGCCACACUGGGACUGAGACACGGCCCAGACUCCUACGGGAGGCAGCAGUGGGGAAUUUUGGACAAUGGGCGCAAGCCUGAUCCAGCCAUUCCGCGUGAGUGAAGAAGGCCUUCGGGUUGUAAAGCUCUUUCAGGAGGGAAGAAACGAUUGUGGCUAAUACCCAUGAUUAAUGACGGUACCUUCAGAAGAAGCACCGGCUAACUACGUGCCAGCAGCCGCGGUAAUACGUAGGGUGCGAGCGUUAAUCGGAAUUACUGGGCGUAAAGCGUGCGCAGGCGGUUUUUCAAGUCUGAUGUGAAAUCCCCGGGCUUAACCUGGGAACUGCGUUGGAAACUGAAAGACUAGAGUGCGGCAGAGGGGGGUAGAAUUCCACGUGUAGCAGUGAAAUGCGUAGAUAUGUGGAGGAAUACCGAUGGCGAAGGCAGCCCCCUGGGUCGACACUGACGCUCAUGCACGAAAGCGUGGGUAGCAAACAGGAUUAGAUACCCUGGUAGUCCACGCCCUAAACGAUGUCNACUAGUUGUUGGGGAGGGAGACCUCCUUAGUAACGCAGCUAACGCGUGAAGUUGACCGCCUGGGGAGUACGGUCGCAAGAUUNAAACUCAAAGGAAUUGACNGGGGGCCCGCACAAGCGGUGNAUUAUGUGGNAU